This 1116-nucleotide long non-coding RNA is filed under the name Parus major (Great Tit). Its description in RNAcentral is "lncRNA (ENSPMJG00000001080.1)". Lineage: Eukaryota; Metazoa; Chordata; Aves; Passeriformes; Paridae. The record is from RNAcentral.
UGCCUGACCCAGGGCACCCUCCCAAAGAUGCUUCUGGUCUCUGAUCCCUAGACUGAUACCCCUUUGGGUUAUUGCUGGACCUCUCUACCCAGAGACUACAUCAUGGAGCAAAUUAUGGAUCAGACUGUGAGGCUCAUCUCCACACCUCUAUAAAGCUGAUUACUGCUGUGUAUUCUGCAGCUGGGAAACACAGAAAGGAAUUAAACCCAUCACUUUCUGAAAUGCUAAGGGGGUUUAGAUAUUGACAAUGAAGUCUAGUCUUCAUGGUCCUUGUUAACCUAAGCAGUGCUUGAUCUAGUUCCUCUCUGAAGUAUCAGGUCAGGAGAGACUUCUGUAUGGAAGAUCAAAGAAUGCACAGAAUUGUGAGGAAGAAGGCUCAAACCCCUUCCAGUCUCUCUCUGGUGCAGCAAACAAGGAGAUCCAGGGGGACACUGCACAGUUAGAUGGCCACGCUGGAGAAUGAGCUGCCUGCUAUACUCUUCAUGCCAACUUGAAUUUUGAGCUUCCUUCCUCUGUGAUUGUCUGCAUUUCCAAGAGGUCUGUAAGGUAGGAAAACUGGCACAAGGGCUUGGCAAUGCAGUGAAGGGCCUUGGGGAUUCGAUCAGGGUUCAGAUGAACCUGUCAAAGUUGAAAAAGGACAGCUUUAUCUUUUAGCAGCCAUUUGGGCUGUUCACCAUGGGGCUGUAUGUGAUGCUGGCUACAGACAGUGGUGGGAGCUGGGGUUGAGACAGGGAAAAAAGGAAGGACCAUGACAGAUGUGCACAGGUCUGCCUGUGGUUCAUUAGCAGAUUUCUAAUCUAACAAGAUUCUGCUGCCCUGACCAAUUAAUUCCCUGUGAAACUGACCCAAUUUUCCAUAGAUCUCCACUCAAGUCAUGUGCAUUAUAAACCCCAAGUUUGUCCUCUGGGACACAGACUGCGCAGGAUCUCAAGGAACCCUUGCUGGAUAGAUAUGGGAACAUUUAAUCCUCAGUAAUUUUUUUUAACCACCUGAUAGUUAAGUUGUCUUUCUCAAGAAUUAAAUUCUUCAAGUGAACCUGCCCACCCCUUCCAAAAUUCUGUCAACAGUCCUUUUGCCCUCUUUCUCCUGCUGAUUCUUCCUUCAUGAAGCCCAUAG